CAGUCGCCGCGGUAAAACGAAGGGUGCAAGCGUUAAUCGGAAUUACUGGGCGUAAAGCGCACGUAGGCGGCUUGGUAAGUUAGAGGUGAAAGCCUGGAGCUCAACUCCAGAAUUGCCUUUAAGACUGCCGAGCUAGCAGGUGAGAGAGGUAAGUGGAAUUCCGAGUGUAGAGGUGAAAUUCGUAGAUAUUCGGAAGAACACCAGUGGCGAAGGCGGCUUACUGGCUCAUACUGGACGCUGAGGUGCGAAAGCGUGGGGAGCAAACAGGAUUAGAUACCCGAGUAGUCCCUGUCUCUUAUAC
RNAcentral lists this ribosomal RNA (301 nucleotides) under uncultured bacterium. RNAcentral describes it as "partial 16S ribosomal RNA". It matches the Rfam family "Bacterial small subunit ribosomal RNA", at positions 509 to 807 of the family's 1533-position model. The record is from RNAcentral.